This 648-nucleotide unclassified non-coding RNA is filed under the name Hevea brasiliensis (rubber tree). Lineage: Eukaryota; Viridiplantae; Streptophyta; Magnoliopsida; Malpighiales; Euphorbiaceae. The record is from RNAcentral.
GGAUCAUUGUCGAAGAAAUGGCUAAUAGACGGGUGAUUCUCCUCUUCCAUUCAAAAGCAAGUAUGUUGCUACCGCUCUAUAUAGAUGAGAAAAAUGUAAUAAAUUAUAAAAACAGUCAUUCAAACAUGAGAGUUCUUGAAACUUUACUCGUAUAUGUUGUAGCUAGUUUCUGUCAAACGAUGUAUAAUCAUCUACACACCUAAAAAGUAAAAGAGAAUGAUAGAACCUACAUUUGUAUCUAUUAAGUUGUAAAAAAAAAUGAACAUAAUCCUUCCAAUUCCCACUAUGUUUACAGUUUUCCAUCCUUGUAAGUCAGCAUAUCAGGCAUCAGCACAGUUUGUUGGUGCAUAUCCCAGCCUAGACCUUUUUGUAUCAUAUAAGAUAUGAAAAUUCUGUUGUUGGUAGUUACCAAUUAUCGACAUGGCAGAGUUAGGAGUACCUAAAAUUGCUAAACAAACAAUGUCUUCUGGAUCAAGUUUGAUGAAGUAGUUCUCGACGGGGAAAUUCCAUACAGCUCCAUCACUAAAAGUUAUUCCAAAUGAGGGCAAUUCAAGAUUCUCCACUCCAGACACAUUGUAACAUGGUCUAAGAAUGGGAAAAUCUUGUAUUAAUGGAUAUCCUUUCACUUUGUUAACAAAUGCCUCUUUU